CGUAUAUUAAAGUUGUUGCAGUUAAAAAGCUCGUAGUUGGAUUUGUGGCGUACGGUGUGUUCCGGGCACUUGUUGUCUGAGUAACCUGCUGUUGCCAUCCUUGGGUGGAACCUGUGUGGCAUUAGGUUGUCGUGCAGGGGAUGCCCAUCUUUUACUGUGAAAAAAUUAGAGUGUUCAAAGCAGGCUUAUGCCGUUGAAUAUAUUAGCAUGGAAUAAUGAGAUAGGACUUUUUUACUAUUUUGUUGGUUUGCGUAAAGAGGUAAUGAUUAAUAGGGACAGUUGGGGG
RNAcentral lists this ribosomal RNA (286 nucleotides) under uncultured diatom. Its description in RNAcentral is "partial 18S ribosomal RNA". It matches the Rfam family "Eukaryotic small subunit ribosomal RNA", at positions 598 to 888 of the family's 1831-position model. The record is from RNAcentral. Lineage: Eukaryota; Bacillariophyta.